Acanthaster planci (crown-of-thorns starfish) is the source of this 674-nucleotide long non-coding RNA. RefSeq lists it as uncharacterized. Lineage: Eukaryota; Metazoa; Echinodermata; Asteroidea; Valvatida; Acanthasteridae. The record is from RefSeq and is a predicted model, not a curated record.
CAAUUUGUUAAUUUGGUGGAUCUUCUUACAAACGACUGCCGACGAAUGUCCCAGUUUGGGGGGGGGGGAGAGUAGCGCGGUAGUUCAGACUGGAAGUCUGUGUGGCUCACCACUCAAUUACAUGACCCAGUUUACGCUGCCAGAAAUCUGGUGAUCUGAGAGAAAACAUCUAAUUACAGAAACUUCCAAUGGAACUUUCUAGGAUGCCUCCCCUUGCUUGAAAUCACAGGGGUGACUGUAUUGCAUUUGCCACAAAUAUUUGGAUAAUAUGACAGCCCUUUGAUGAAGCUGACUACGUGGGUGUGUUAACUAGAUGCAGCUGCGGUAUGACGAGAUGCAACCGUGAUGUCUGCGCGCUACUGGACGUCGAUAUUAUCGCCGUGUUCCCAUGUGUUGGGUUUUACAAAGAAGAUGCCUGGCAUUACCGGGUCUUUAUUGACUGAUCCGGGCCAGAAAAGAUAACCAGAGACCAUCUCGGGAUAUUAAUCUCCUUCUGGGGAGCAAUAUCUUUGUGCCAUCACUCAUAAGCACCUGGAAGAGAUGUGUUGCAAAUUAUUUCCAUUCACCAUGAUGGUGAGAGAAAGAGACAGCUAACCAAAUAAACAAACGAGGCCAAAAGAUGCCGAUACUAAGGCAGUGAUAGAUGUACCUGAUGUAUACUGCCUCCAACUUAU